AUCAUCUCCCUGCUUUCCCGUCCAAGCAGAACCGCUCUGCUUUUCUGUUUCAUAUUUUGGAUAUUUAAGAUUUCAUUUGGAAAAGAAUUUUCACGGCUUCAAAACCAAUUUAGCCUUGUCUUCCCCGGUGGUCUCGUGGGUAGGACUGAGCGCGUUCAUGGCUGCAGCCCGGGUUCCAUUCCCCGUCUAGGAACUCAGAUCCCACAUCAAGACGCAGCAGGGUGCAGCCAAAAAAAAAAAGACAAAAACAAUCUAGCAUCGGCUGAUGUCUUAGGGAGGAAGAGCAGAGGAUGAGACGUGGAGUAUGGAAGAUCUGCCUUUGAGACCGAGAACCACGUGUUCCCAGAAAUAGGACAUGGAGACGUAUGGGAACCAGCGCUGCCUGUGGUCCUGCGGUGCCACCAGCCUGCCUCGUGGCCACCCCAGGCUGAAAAGGACCAGGGUCUGACCUCCACGUCAUGGGAAAAUGAAAGCCGGAUGCCAGGUUGUGGUGUGGCUCUAACAGGAAGCAGGUGGCCCUUUUGUUGUGCACCUGUGUUCUUUGCUGUCACCAAGGUGGGCCCAGAGCGCCUUCGGAAUACGGCAGAGAUACUGUAACGCCACCUGCCAGGGCUGUGACUCGAACCAGGCAAGUGAGGUAAGCACCUCAAAGGACAAAUUUUAAAGAGUGCCCCAAAUGCAGUAAUCAAGAGAAAUUAGCAUUUAAUAUAAUGCUUUUUUAAAAAUAAAAGCGAAUGCACAAAAAUCCA
RNAcentral lists this long non-coding RNA (749 nucleotides) under Sus scrofa (pig). RNAcentral's name for it is "lncRNA (ENSSSCG00065029184.1)". The record is from RNAcentral. Lineage: Eukaryota; Metazoa; Chordata; Mammalia; Artiodactyla; Suidae.